UCCCGCGCCUGCAAGCGUUAUUCGGAUUCACUGGGCGUAAAGGGUGCGCAGGCGGCCGUGUGGGUAAGGUGUGAAAUCCCGAGGCUCAACCUCGGAACUGCGCCUUAAACUACAUGGCUAGAGUAUUGGAGAGGGUAACGGAAUUCACGGUGUAGCAGUGAAAUGCGUAGAUAUCGUGAGGAACACCAGAGGCGAAGGCGGUUACCUGGACAAUUACUGACGCUCAGGCACGAAAGCAUGGGGAGCAAAAGGG
Molecule: ribosomal RNA, 253 nt
Filed under: uncultured bacterium
Lineage: Bacteria
Description: partial 16S ribosomal RNA
Rfam family: Bacterial small subunit ribosomal RNA
Source: RNAcentral